Odocoileus virginianus texanus is the source of this 1321-nucleotide non-coding RNA. NCBI's taxonomy places the organism in Eukaryota, Metazoa, Chordata, Mammalia, Artiodactyla, Cervidae. The record is from RefSeq and is a predicted model, not a curated record.
AUCACGGCCGCCCCAGGCUGGACAGCGAUGAGACACCAGGUCACCAGAAGAAUAUGCUCACGCGUGGAACUGCAUUUCCAGUGUUCACCAACGGAAUCCUGUGUGGAAAGAAAACAAGAAGAGGUUAAAUGGCAGUGGGCCAAAAGUAGUAGGUGUCUAUGAGGCCCCUCUGAGCCUCUGUCACUGAGACCCAGGUACACAGCUGCCUGGCUAAAUGACACGCAAGUGUCAUCCUGGGGGCACCAACGCUAUCUCGCUGGACCUGGUCACCAAGGACGGCUACAAAUGCUAGGAAUCCUGAGGGGCCCUCGUGUUAAUUACAGUAAUUGACAGCAUGGUCCUCCUGCCUUUGAGGGAGGGGCCUGAGCUUCCCAAGAGGGCACUGGGACCACCCCUGCACUAACUCAUGAGCAGGUAUGGCAUCCCAGGCUUGCAGGCGACUGAAUGCAUCCAGCAUCCUGCUCGCUCCCCUUCCAGCUCUUGCUGCCAAGGGCAGAGGGACUGCCAGCUCCAGUCCUGGGCUGCAGGAAGCAAUGGAAUCCAUUUUAAUCCUGCUCAGCUGGAGCAGGGCAGGAACUUGGGGAGGCUGAUGGACUGCAUCAGAAAAACCACCCCUUGGAUCUCCCUAAGAAGUGAUGUCACUGGAGAGAGGAAGAAAGUGAAAUGCCCUGCAUGCAGGCCAGGUCAGAUGGCUGCAAAGAAGCAGCUGGCUUUUGCCCAGUUUGAGGGUGCUGCCUCAGAAAGUUGGGACCCCAAAGUCAUCCUGCCUCAGUGAUAGACCCUGAGGUCAGCAUCCCCCAGGAAGACAGAGAGAUACAGCCGUCCUGGGCAUGGCCAGGAAAUCGGACCCUCAAAUGGUACAAAGAGGAUACCAUGGCAGCCUUCUUCUAAAUGGACUCUGGGGUAGGGUUCUUUCUCUUGCAUCAAUUAAGCCCCCCCAGGUGAGCCUCCACAGGACAGAGGGCUGAAGGGCAUCCAGGUGCAGGGACACACCUGCAGCCCGCAGGAGAGCAUCUGGACAGCACUGCAUCCAUCAUCUUCUCUGAGGGCCUCAGCACAUGAAAGUCUACUCCAUCGGGGUGGGGUGGCAGUGCCUGCUCCCUCUCUGGGACCCCUUCUAGUCUGGAUAAGAAAGGCAGGGCGUCGCCUUGCCCAAACAAAUGACACCUGUUUGGGCAACCCCAGGAGGCCCAAAUGGGGCAUCUACUCAUCUCCUGUGGGAUGGUCCGCCCUGCUGUGAGCAGGAGUGUGAUGAAAUGGAUAUCUGGUCAGCUGUGUGCUGGACCACCCUCGGGAGGGUUACUCCAGCUGUCUCCCUCAC